Molecule: long non-coding RNA, 1167 nt
Filed under: Homo sapiens (human)
Lineage: Eukaryota; Metazoa; Chordata; Mammalia; Primates; Hominidae
Description: HSALNT0003590
Source: RNAcentral
UGAACACCGGAAGUGAAGGGGCAGGGCCAGGGCCGUGCACUGAGCCCCGGGCCAUUGUCCAUCUCCGACCAGGGCAGUAGCCACCCCCACUAGCCAGCCGUCUUUAUCUCCUAGAAGGGGAGGUUACCUCUUCAAAUGAGGAGGCCCCCCAGUCCUGUUCCUCCACCAGCCCCACUACGGAAUGGGAGCGCAUUUUAGGGUGGUUACUCUGAAACAAGGAGGGCCUAGGAAUCUAAGAGUGUGAAGAGUAGAGAGGAAGUACCUCUACCCACCAGCCCACCCAGUCCCUCUCUCAGCAGUGGAUGGGGAUGGGGUGGGGGUAGGACGAGAAGGCAGCUGGUGGAGAAACAGCUUCAAGACUCUUUGGGUUCCUCCUGCUCUCCAGGGAGCUUACCUGGGGCUAACUUUAGACACACAGGUUUGGAGGGAGGAAAGAAGGAAGAAUUCUUUACAACGAAUCAAUUAAGAGCACUUUCUCUUUUCUAACUGGGGGAGGCCCAGAAAAACUCUGAGUCAGAAACUCUGGGAGGCAGACAUUCAGAUGUAGUCAGAGGCAGACAGACUUUGGAAGGCAGCGCUUUGGUCAGGACAGAUCAGCCCUGUGUGUCCCCAGCCUCUCCCCUGCUCCCCCAUCCCGGGCUUCCCAGUGUCCAGAACUCCAGGUCUAUCUAAGCACACGGGGGUGGGGGGUGAGAGCGGGUCAGCUCCAAGCAGCCGGGUCAGCUCAGAGGCCUGAGGGGGAAGAGAGGGGGAGGGGAGCUCAAGGGCUGGGGGAGGGGGAGGGCCCAUUCAUUUCUCCCUUGACAGGUGGUUUGUGUUUCUGAUUGGCCAGCGCCGCCAGGCUCACACCUCCCUCCCCCAACUCUCUGGAAUGUAUAAUUAUCUGCCCGGGGGGUGGGGGUGGUGUGUGUGUGUGUGUGUGUGUGUGUGUGUGUGUGUGUGCAGUCACGUGGUUUUAAAACUACCCCCCCCACCAGGUCCCCCACCUGUAUCUGCUUUGGGGACCCCUACUGAGUCCAAAGUGCAGGAUCUCAAAUUCCGGGGUACUCAAGUCUUCUAGGGCAGACAGACCCAUCUCCAGUUGUGCGUGUGGGGAGGGGGUGUCAAACCUCAAGGUUCUGAGAAGGGACACCCCAGAGGUGUCAGAGACCGGAGUUGUGGGGGAGG